Homo sapiens (human) is the source of this 898-nucleotide long non-coding RNA. The record is from Ensembl. NCBI's taxonomy places the organism in Eukaryota, Metazoa, Chordata, Mammalia, Primates, Hominidae.
GCAAUGUGCCAGCUAUUGAGCUAAACUUGGGAUGCUAGAAAAGACAAUCCCUUUUCUGGAUUAGGAAGUUUACAUUUUAAAGAUGCAAGAAGGCACUAAACAAGGGCAGUGAGGUACAACAAGCUCUGUGGUUUUAUUUCUCCUAAAUGGGAGGAAACAUAGAGAGGAAGAAAAGUAUGCAAUCUCAGUUGCAAAUGGAGGCAGGGGCUCACCAUGUUCUCUGAUACGAUUGUACCGCCCAUUGGUAAGAAUCAGAGGCUGAAAAGAUUCUGUUACUGAAACUCAACACUUAGUUGAUACCUGCUACAACUUUAACUACUCGUUGACUGUUUACGGCUUUUGCUGUAAGUUGGAGUAUGGUGACAAACACACAACAGGAGUCUAAAAACUCAAACGUAUCUAAAAGCCAUGACACAGAAGGCCUGGAGACUGCAUGGAAUGAUGAGGACUGCAGUGAACUCUGAAGUGCCUACCCAUGUGAAACGAACAAGUGCUAUUCGGAAGAAGCAGGUUGUGUUAAUCUGAGGCCUUUGAGAUACUAUAUGAACUGCUCCAACAUUCUGAAGAGAAGGUCUGGAUCAUUUAAGUAGGACUUGCAAAGAAAGUGGCCUAGAUCCUUAGCUGAGCUGAUCACUUACCUCAAACCUAUAAAGAAGUGGAGGGGCCAAGAAUAGGUGUUGGAUAUCAGCGGGAGAGUUUCAUCAAAGAGCUGUCAGUUUCAUCUCAACCUUACCCUCCAGGAGAGGUAAGAUGUCCUCUGUCUCACAAUAAAUGAGUUUGACUUUUGGUCCUGGGCAUCUGUGGUACUGAGAGCUUAGGGCUGGCUCCAUGCUUUAAAAUAUGUAUAUGUGAGAACUGCAUGAACUCGCCAGUGCGGAGAUGAAAAAGAAAGAAAAAA